This 254-nucleotide ribosomal RNA is filed under the name uncultured bacterium. RNAcentral's name for it is "partial 16S ribosomal RNA". It matches the Rfam family "Bacterial small subunit ribosomal RNA", at positions 524 to 776 of the family's 1533-position model. The record is from RNAcentral.
UACGGGGGGAGCAAGCGUUGUUCGGAUUUACUGGGCGUAAAGGGCGCGUAGGCGGUCGUGACAAGUCACUUGUGAAAUCUCCGGGCUUAACUCGGAACGGUCAAGUGAUACUGUCGGACUAGAGUACAGAAGGGGCAACUGGAAUUCUUGGUGUAGCGGUGAAAUGCGUAGAUAUCAAGAGGAACACCUGCGGCGAAGGCGGGUUGCUGGGCCGACACUGACGCUGAGGCGCGAAAGCCAGGGGAGCGAACGGG